UACGAAGGGGGCUAGCGUUGUUCGGAAUCACUGGGCGUAAAGCGCGCGUAGGCGGUCUGAUAAGUUUGGUGUGAAAGCCCAGGGCUCAACGGAGGAACUGCGUCGGAUACUGGCAGACUCGAGUUCGGGAGAGGAGGGUGGAAUUCCUGGUGUAGAGGUGAAAUGCGUAGAUAUUAGGAGGAACACCCGUGGCGAAGGCGGCCUUCUGGACGGAUACUGACGCUGAUACGCGAAAGCGCGGGGAGCAAACAGG
Molecule: ribosomal RNA, 253 nt
Filed under: uncultured bacterium
Lineage: Bacteria
Description: partial 16S ribosomal RNA
Rfam family: Bacterial small subunit ribosomal RNA
Source: RNAcentral